This 448-nucleotide ribosomal RNA is filed under the name uncultured bacterium. RNAcentral describes it as "bacterial SSU rRNA". It matches the Rfam family "Bacterial small subunit ribosomal RNA", at positions 329 to 793 of the family's 1533-position model. The record is from RNAcentral.
CGCCAGACUCCUACGGGAGGCAGCAGUGGGGAAUAUUGCACAAUGGGGGAAACCCUGAUGCAGCGACGCCGCGUGAGUGAAGAAGUAUUUCGGUACGUAAAGCUCUAUCAGCAGGAAAGAAAAUGACGGUACCUGACUAAGAGGCCCCGGCUAACUACGUGCCAGCAGCCGCGGUAAUACGUAGGGGGCAAGCGUUAUCCGGAUUUACUGGGUGUAAAAGGAGCGUAGACGGCAGCGCAAGUCUGGAGUGAAAUGCCGGGGCCCAACCCCGGAACUGCUCUGGAAACUGUGAAGCUGGAGUGCAGGAGAGGUAAGCGGAAUUCCUGGUGUAGCGGUGAAAUGCGUAGAUAUCAGGAGGAACACCGGCGGCGAAGGCGGCUUACUGGACUGUAACUGACGUUGAGGCUCGAAGGCGUGGGGAGCAAACAGGAUUAGAUACCCGCGUACG